Molecule: ribosomal RNA, 496 nt
Filed under: uncultured bacterium
Lineage: Bacteria
Description: partial 16S ribosomal RNA
Rfam family: Bacterial small subunit ribosomal RNA
Source: RNAcentral
GAUGAACGCUGGCGGCGUGCCUAAUACAUGCAAGUCGAGCGAACGGACGAGAAGCUUGCUUCUCUGAUGUUAGCGGCGGACGGGUGAGUAACACGUGGAUAACCUACCUAUAAGACUGGGAUAACUUCGGGAAACCGGAGCUAAUACCGGAUAAUAUUUUGAACCGCAUGGUUCAAAAGUGAAAGACGGUCUUGCUGUCACUUAUAGAUGGAUCCGCGCUGCAUUAGCUAGUUGGUAAGGUAACGGCUUACCAAGGCAACGAUGCAUAGCCGACCUGAGAGGGCGAUCGGCCACACGGGAACGGAGACGCGGUCCAGACUCGUAAGGGAGGCAGCAGCAGGGAACCUUCCGGAAGGGGCGAAAGCCUGACGGAGCAACGCCGCGUGAGUCAUGAAGGUCUUCGGAUCGUAAAACUCUGUUAUUAGGGAAGAACAUAGGUGUAAGUAACUGUGCACAUCUUGACGGUACCUAAUCAGAAAGCCACGGCUAACUCCGU